GCAGAGCCACAACCAUGUUUGUGGGUGCUAUUGAGCCGGACGAACGCCCCACAUAGGCGGGGUGAGCAACAUCGGC
Regulatory RNA element from Alcaligenes sp. EGD-AK7, 76 nucleotides. It matches the Rfam family "Burkholderiales-2 RNA". The record is from Rfam. Lineage: Bacteria; Pseudomonadati; Pseudomonadota; Betaproteobacteria; Burkholderiales; Alcaligenaceae.